Molecule: ribosomal RNA, 2778 nt
Filed under: Shigella dysenteriae
Lineage: Bacteria; Pseudomonadati; Pseudomonadota; Gammaproteobacteria; Enterobacterales; Enterobacteriaceae
Description: bacterial LSU rRNA
Rfam family: Bacterial large subunit ribosomal RNA
Source: RNAcentral
AGCGUACACGGUGGAUGCCCUGGCAGUCAGAGGCGAUGAAGGACGUGCUAAUCUGCGAUAAGCGUCGGUAAGGUGAUAUGAACCGUUAUAACCGGCGAUUUCCGAAUGGGGAAACCCAGUGUGUUUCGACACACUAUCAUUAACUGAAUCCAUAGGUUAAUGAGGCGAACCGGGGAACUGAAACAUCUAAGUACCCCGAGGAAAAGAAAUCAACCGAGAUUCCCCAGUAGCGGCGAGCGAACGGGGAGCAGCCCAGAGCCUGAAUCAGUGUGUGUGUUAGUGGAAGCGUCUGGAAAGGCGCGCGAUACAGGGUGACAGCCCCGUACACAAAAAUGCACAUGCUGUGAGCUCGAUGAGUAGGGCGGGACACGUGGUAUCCUGUCUGAAUAUGGGGGACCAUCCUCCAAGGCUAAAUACUCCUGACUGACCGAUAGUGAACCAGUACCGUGAGGGAAAGGCGAAAAGAACCCCGGCGAGGGGAGUGAAAAAGAACCUGAAACCGUGUACGUACAAGCAGUGGGAGCCUCUUUAUGGGUGACUGCGUACCUUUUGUAUAAUGGGUCAGCGACUUAUAUUCUGUAGCAAGGUUAACCGAAUAGGGGAGCCGAAGGGAAACCGAGUCUUAACUGGGCGUUAAGUUGCAGGGUAUAGACCCGAAACCCGGUGAUCUAGCCAUGGGCAGGUUGAAGGUUGGGUAACACUAACUGGAGGACCGAACCGACUAAUGUUGAAAAAUUAGCGGAUGACUUGUGGCUGGGGUGAAAGGCCAAUCAAACCGGGAGAUAGCUGGUUCUCCCCGAAAGCUAUUUAGGUAGCGCCUCGUGAAUUCAUCUCCGGGGGUAGAGCACUGUUUCGGCAAGGGGUCAUCCCGACUUACCAACCCGAUGCAAACUGCGAAUACCGGAGAAUGUUAUCACGGGAGACACACGGCGGGUGCUAACGUCCGUCGUGAAGAGGGAAACAACCCAGACCGCCAGCUAAGGUCCCAAAGUCAUGGUUAAGUGGGAAACGAUGUGGGAAGGCCCAGACAGCCAGGAUGUUGGCUUAGAAGCAGCCAUCAUUUAAAGAAAGCGUAAUAGCUCACUGGUCGAGUCGGCCUGCGCGGAAGAUGUAACGGGGCUAAACCAUGCACCGAAGCUGCGGCAGCGACGCUUAUGCGUUGUUGGGUAGGGGAGCGUUCUGUAAGCCUGUGAAGGUGUGCUGUGAGGCAUGCUGGAGGUAUCAGAAGUGCGAAUGCUGACAUAAGUAACGAUAAAGCGGGUGAAAAGCCCGCUCGCCGGAAGACCAAGGGUUCCUGUCCAACGUUAAUCGGGGCAGGGUGAGUCGACCCCUAAGGCGAGGCCGAAAGGCGUAGUCGAUGGGAAACAGGUUAAUAUUCCUGUACUUGGUGUUACUGCGAAGGGGGACGGAGAAGGCUAUGUUGGCCGGGCGACGGUUGUCCCGGUUUAAGCGUGUAGGCUGAUUUUCCAGGCAAAUCCGGAAAAUCAAGGCUGAGGCGUGAUGACGAGGCACUACGGUGCUGAAGCAACAAAUGCCCUGCUUCCAGGAAAAGCCUCUAAGCAUCAGGUAACAUCAAAUCGUACCCCAAACCGACACAGGUGGUCAGGUAGAGAAUACCAAGGCGCUUGAGAGAACUCGGGUGAAGGAACUAGGCAAAAUGGUGCCGUAACUUCGGGAGAAGGCACGCUGAUAUGUAGGUGAAGUCCCUCGCGGAUGGAGCUGAAAUCAGUCGAAGAUACCAGCUGGCUGCAACUGUUUAUUAAAAACACAGCACUGUGCAAACACGAAAGUGGACGUAUACGGUGUGACGCCUGCCCGGUGCCGGAAGGUUAAUUGAUGGGGUCAGCGCAAGCGAAGCUCUUGAUCGAAGCCCCGGUAAACGGCGGCCGUAACUAUAACGGUCCUAAGGUAGCGAAAUUCCUUGUCGGGUAAGUUCCGACCUGCACGAAUGGCGUAAUGAUGGCCAGGCUGUCUCCACCCGAGACUCAGUGAAAUUGAACUCGCUGUGAAGAUGCAGUGUACCCGCGGCAAGACGGAAAGACCCGUGAACCUUUACUAUAGCUUGACACUGAACAUUGAGCCUUGAUGUGUAGGAUAGGUGGGAGGCUUAGAAGUGUGGACGCCAGUCUGCAUGGAGCCGGCCUUGAAAUACCACCCUUUAAUGUUUGAUGUUCUAACGUGGACCCGUAAUCCGGGUUGCGGACAGUGUCUGGUGGGUAGUUUGACUGGGGCGGUCUCCUCCUAAAGAGUAACGGAGGAGCACGAAGGUUGGCUAAUCCUGGUCGGACAUCAGGAGGUUAGUGCAAUGGCAUAAGCCAGCUUGACUGCGAGCGUGACGGCGCGAGCAGGUGCGAAAGCAGGUCAUAGUGAUCCGGUGGUUCUGAAUGGAAGGGCCAUCGCUCAACGGAUAAAAGGUACUCCGGGGAUAACAGGCUGAUACCGCCCAAGAGUUCAUAUCGACGGCGGUGUUUGGCACCUCGAUGUCGGCUCAUCACAUCCUGGGGCUGAAGUAGGUCCCAAGGGUAUGGCUGUUCGCCAUUUAAAGUGGUACGCGAGCUGGGUUUAGAACGUCGUGAGACAGUUCGGUCCCUAUCUGCCGUGGGCGCUGGAGAACUGAGGGGGGCUGCUCCUAGUACGAGAGGACCGGAGUGGACGCAUCACUGGUGUUCGGGUUGUCAUGCCAAUGGCACUGCCCGGUAGCUAAAUGCGGAAGAGAUAAGUGCUGAAAGCAUCUAAGCACGAAACUUGCCCCGAGAUGAGUUCUCCCUGACUCCUUGA